CAAAUAAACAAACAACAGGACAUACUGUGAUCACAAAGGUGGUUUUCCCAGGGCAUGGUUUGUCCAUUGAAUUCAGAUGUGUGGACCUCUGCGAUUUUGCCAAAUUCAGGAAACUCAGCUGUGUCAUUUGUGGUAGUGGGGACUGUGUUCACCUCUCCCCA
This 161-nucleotide small nuclear RNA is filed under the name Meriones unguiculatus (Mongolian gerbil). Its description in RNAcentral is "U1 spliceosomal RNA (ENSMUGG00000002931.1)". It matches the Rfam family "U1 spliceosomal RNA". From Rfam's summary of the family: U1 is a small nuclear RNA (snRNA) component of the spliceosome (involved in pre-mRNA splicing). Its 5' end forms complementary base pairs with the 5' splice junction, thus defining the 5' donor site of an intron. There are significant differences in sequence and secondary structure between metazoan and yeast U1 snRNAs, the latter being much longer (568 nucleotides as compared to 164 nucleotides in human). The record is from RNAcentral. Lineage: Eukaryota; Metazoa; Chordata; Mammalia; Rodentia; Muridae.